CCUCCUUAAACCGAAUUCUGCCCAUACACAUUCACACGAAGGGUUCCACGUUGCCCCAGUCGAGUCGAGCAUCACCCCACCUUAACAAAAGAACCAGCAAUACUUGGUUCGGAGUGUCCUUUCUAGCGCCGGAAUUGGGGCGUCAGCCGAAGAGUCAUCUCUGACACGAUUGUUAAUUUUCAAAAUCACCGGAUUCUGCUGAUGAAAUGUGGAAGUGUGGUAGUGCAGCUGGAACCUAGAAUAAUAUUAUGGGCUUUUCAUGUUCCUAUUUCAAGCUAGGUGAAACCUAAGGACAGGCGAAACGGAUAAACUCCACUAUUUUCAGAAGCCACGACCACCCAUAUGGGCACAGUUGGUGUUUUAAAUCUUGAACCAACGUUGUAAGCCGCAGUUUUCGCUUCAUUACCCAUCCAGAGAAGGAGACCAAUCGGCGAGCGGAUUAACACUCCAGUUUCUUCAGUUGUCUUUAUCAACACAGGCAAAAGGAAACAAAAGAAGCAAAGAAAACGGGGACUAUUGCUGAGGAGGAUCGAGCGAGACCAGCCAGAACAAAAACGAAAACAUAAAUAAUCCAUCUUUUCGCGCGGAUGCCGCCGUCACAACAGACUGAAGCCCCGGACCACGCCAUCCAAUAUACAUUCGACGGGGUAAAGCCAUUUCUUGAUUUCUUUUUGCCUUUUUCUAAUCGGAAACAAGUGAUGUAUCAGCAUGCAAAUAACUUCAAAAAAGAUCGAUAUGUCUUUCUGUUGACUCGACGACGGAGCGGCUGGAUACAUAUCGUGGGGGGUGGGGGAUGUAGUAAACUCAUCAGUGUUUUAACUUACGAGUGGUGGUGAAGGCGAAGGAUCCACCUUGUCUGGAUCCAAAGUCGUAGUCGAAUCCCUGUUUCAUGUUAGAAGAAAAAUCAAUCAAUCGACUUCGAUUUUCGCACUUGCACAACGGACAGGCUUACCCUGAAACUCAUGGCUCCAGUUGAUUUCAAUCAAGGGAAACACUUGGUAGUUAAAAUUUUCUUGGAAUCAAAAACUAGUCAGUCAGUUAAAUUGUGUAUGACAUUGACGUUCGGUGGACUCAACGUGAUGCCAAAGACAAACAAAGUAAAACCAGGCCUGCUCCACGGCCGAGGUUGAUGUGGACGAAUUCGACUAUCAACGCCAACGCGUAAGCGUGCAUUGUUGGGGCUAUGACGGUACGGCGCUUAUGACGCACAGCUAUACUUGCUCAGCUUUUGUUUGUUUCCUUGUUGGCGGAGAGCAUUCCACGCGCAUUGCCCGGUCAAUUGAUUUUCCUUUGAAGGCUUUGACAUGAGGAGAGGCGGGCGCGUGUGCAUAUGUAUAUCGUGCACGAGUCGUGACGGACCGAAGACUUCAUAUAGGCCAUAGAGAUAUUGUUUCGGGGCGGGGGAUUGGUGCACCGAAGAAUUCCGUCCAUCAACUCUGCGAAGGGCGCGGAUAAACACGAGGUUUCUCAUGUUAAGUUAUUUUCGGUAAGUUCCUCUACAGGAGACGACGACGACGACGGCGACGCGAAUUGAGGAGAGGACGGGAUACCUACGAGCCCGCGACAACGCACACUUGAUGGAUCAAUGAUUUCUUGACCAUCGUUCAGUUCUGUCCAGCCCCCAUCGACCCUAAAUGAUUCUUUUCUUUUUACGUCAAGAGGCGUGUUCGGUCUCUUUUUCCGGCCGGCUCUCUAUACCAAAUGCGUUUUAACAAGAUUUUUUUUUUUUUUAAAUGAGAAGAAUGGAACGACAUUAUGUUUAAUGAAGAGAGGUUUCGCUUUUAACUUUUUUUCACAGGAAUUGUUCGAGAAAGAAUUUCUUUAAACAAUCAACGUUAAACAAACAGAUAAGGUUACUGUAUACGAAUAUUUUUUAUUUCUUCCGGCUCAAUAUUUAUCACUGUCGUCGUUGGGAUCGUCGAUCCUCAUCUUGACACGUACCUUUUUCAUUAUGCAUGACUGUUUUUUAAUUCUUUAAACACACCUUCUAGCGUUCUCAACCCCGCUACGAGCAAGAUGGGAACUUGGCUCUUACAGUUUCUAAAUGGGGGUUGCCAUGCCAGCGGCAACAAAUAGAAAAAAAAAAAAACUUAUUUGCCAUCCUUUCGUUCUUAGAACUUAAUUAAAAAAAAAAAAAAAAUGUUUCAACUUUCUAAAUCCCAACUUCCCAGGCACGCUUCCGCCCCCUAUCGUUUUCAUUCUCUUACAGAUGUCCGAUUUAUCAUUCAGUUUAUUCACGUGUGUUGAUUCCAGAAAUGCAGGAGAAGAAUAUUGACCACCUCUACGGUAGCCCUUCUGAGGUCACUGGAUUGCACUCACAAAAUGAAACCCUGUUUGUAGUAUGUUUUACCGUAAUCAAAAUUAAAUUGAGAUUGGAUAAUAAUAGGGGAAUCCGGCUACGAAUCCACGGCGUCACGUCAGCGCAGACUUCUAAUCUGAUUUAUACGAAUAAAUGGAUCAUUCAUGGCCCCCAGACGUUAAAGUCGAGCUAGAUUUCUUUCUUCCAGGCGAGAUUGCAUGCGGCGCCAGUAUGUUAAUUGUCCUCCUACGAAACUUCCUACGUGACUCGGCUGGGAGAAGUCGGUUGUCGUACAAUGCGAUGAUGACCAUCCGUCACGCAAUAUCUAUUUCUUUGAGCUGAGCCGAGGGGGACUCUCGAG
Daphnia pulicaria is the source of this 2660-nucleotide long non-coding RNA. RefSeq lists it as uncharacterized. The transcript has 5 exons. Lineage: Eukaryota; Metazoa; Arthropoda; Branchiopoda; Diplostraca; Daphniidae. The record is from RefSeq and is a predicted model, not a curated record.